This 248-nucleotide unclassified non-coding RNA is filed under the name Hevea brasiliensis (rubber tree). Lineage: Eukaryota; Viridiplantae; Streptophyta; Magnoliopsida; Malpighiales; Euphorbiaceae. The record is from RNAcentral.
GCUCAUCAAGAUUGCUCACCACGAACGUAAGCCAUUAGAAAGGAAGGUCACUUCGGAAAAAAAAACAAUAAUAAUAAAGAAAUGAGAUUGAGAAAACUCCACGCAAACUGAGGUAAAGGCAUACCCAAAAAGAGUAACUCACAAGGAAAAAUUGUCCGGUAGAAAGCUAAAUCAAUGCAAAUCCUUAAUCCUCGUCACAACUCCAAAAACAGUUCCUUAAUCAUGUUUACUACCAAUUCAAUUGCAUG